This 1128-nucleotide long non-coding RNA is filed under the name Daphnia pulex (common water flea). RNAcentral's name for it is "uncharacterized LOC124201772, transcript variant X2". The record is from RNAcentral. Lineage: Eukaryota; Metazoa; Arthropoda; Branchiopoda; Diplostraca; Daphniidae.
GCUUCGUACUUGGGAGCGUAUUCGGCUGACCUGUAAGAAUCGGCGGCAGCGACAGCGAAAAGGGCGGCGAGGAUGAAGAACUAAUAAAAUAUGGAACAUUUGACGCCAUGUAAAAGUUAUUGAAUUGUAUCUGCGUUUUGAACUUGUGGUAAUCCUAUCCAUUCCGAGUGGUUCUGGCCCUUCAGUUUCCGCAGGACAAAAGAAUUCCUUGCUGUUCAAAAACAUCCACGUUCGGUGGUUUAAAUUCAGUAUCGUUUCCUGUGUAUGUUUCUAUUGUACCUGAUUUUGGAGCUAACUUGGUGAGCCCGUUCUGCAUCAUCAAAGAUUUGGGAUCAUCAUCGCGGGUAAACGAUUUAGGAACUGCAGAGUCUGCGAUUUGUAUGCCGGAGCUUCGUACUUGGGAGCGUAUUCGGCUGACCUGUAAGAAUCGGCGGCAGCGACAGCGAAAAGGGCGGCGAGGAUGAUGAACUAAUAAAAUAGGAACAUUUGACGCCAUGUAAAAGGCUUAUGUAAGAAUCUCAGAAAUGAACUUCGGAACGUGGGGCCAACUAUUAACCGCUUCGUCUUCGUCACCGAAGAUAUAGGUCUACAACUCUCCAUGACGUCCAUGCCCAUCUCCACAUCCAACUCUUUCAUGUCGUCCAUGUGUUGCUUUCAUUGCCCGUUUUACUCACUACCUGGUGCAAAACAAAAUAAUGGGUCCUCGGGUCACCUCAGCACAUGCACUUUCAUAGGCACUUCCAUGCCGAAUCGAUGACCACGAAGCGCUUCACGCUAAAGGCCAGCACAUUUUUCUGAAUUGUGUAUCCAUAUUCUGAAUGCAGUUUUUUUCCAUUGUCGUCGUUUUUCCGUGAACCAAGUAAUCGAUUUUUUUUUAACUUUUUGGGUAUCUAUGUAGUUAUCGAUUUCUAUCUGCGUAUUGAACUUAUGGUGAUCCAAUCCAUCCCAAUCGGUUCCGGCCAUCCAAUUUUCGCAAGGAAGAAGAAUUCCUUUUUAUUUUAAAACAGAACCGAGAAUCCAGGAAUAUUUUAGCGCUUCCAUAAUUAAAAUAUUUAUGGUAGUACUUUGAUCGAAUUGAAUUUUUGUAUUAAAUAAUAAGUUUAGAUACACACAUUUCAGCGGUUUCAA